AGCGCAGACGGUUAUUUAAGCAAGAUGUGAAAGCCCCGGGCUCAACCUGGGAACUGCGUUUUGAACUGGGUAACUAGAGUGUGUCAGAGGGGGGUAGAAUUCCACGUGUAGCAGUGAAAUGCGUAGAGAUGUGGAGGAAUACCGAUGGCGAAGGCAGCCCCCUGGGACAACACUGACGUUCAUGCUCGAAAGCGUGGGUAGCAAACA
RNAcentral lists this ribosomal RNA (207 nucleotides) under uncultured bacterium. RNAcentral describes it as "partial 16S ribosomal RNA". It matches the Rfam family "Bacterial small subunit ribosomal RNA", at positions 568 to 774 of the family's 1533-position model. The record is from RNAcentral.